Molecule: ribosomal RNA, 253 nt
Filed under: uncultured bacterium
Lineage: Bacteria
Description: partial 16S ribosomal RNA
Rfam family: Bacterial small subunit ribosomal RNA
Source: RNAcentral
UACGUAGGUGACAAGCGUUGUCCGGAUUUACUGGGCGUAAAGAGCGCGCAGGCGGUCGUUCAAGUCGAGUGUGAAAGCCCCCGGCUCAACUGGGGAGGGUCACUCGAUACUGAUCGACUCGAAGGCAGGAGAGGGAAGUGGAAUUCCCGGUGUAGUGGUGAAAUGCGUAGAUAUCGGGAGGAACACCAGUGGCGAAGGCAAUCCCCUGGGCCUGUACUGACGCUCAUGCACGAAAGCGUGGGGAGCAAACAGG